UUCCGGUUGAUCCUGCCGGAGGCUACCGCUAUUGGAGUUCGAUUAAGCCAUGCGAGUCGCGAGUCUUCAAGGACUCGGCGUACCGCUCAGUAACACGUGGGUAACCUGCCCUAUGCUGGGGGAUAACCUCGGGAAACUGAGAAUAAUACCCCAUAGUUCACCACGCCUGGAACGGUGGGUGGAUGAAAGCUCCGGCGGCAUAGGAUGGGCCUGCGGCGUAUCAGGUUGUAGGGGGUGUAAUGUACCCUCUAGCCAUCUACGCGUACGGGUGUUGGGAGACAUCGCCCGGAGAUGGAUUCUGAGACACGAAUCCAGACCCUACGGGGUGCAGCAGGCGCGAAAACUUGGCAAUGCGAGCAAUCGUGACCAGGGAACUCCAAGUGCAUCGGGUAAGACCGAUGCUUUUCUUGACUCUUCAAAGGUCUUGGAAUAAGGGGUGGGUAAGGACGGUGCCAGCCGCCGCGGUAAUACCGGCGCCUCAAGUGGUAGUCGCUUUUAUUGGGCCUAAAACGUCCGUAGCCGGUUUGGUACAUUCGUGGGUAAAUCAAGGCGCUCAACGUCUUGAAUUCUGCGAGCACGGCCAGACUUGGGACCGGGUGAGGUGUGGGGUACUCUCAGGGUAGGGGUAAAAUCCUGUCAUCCUGAGAGGACCACCUGUUGCGAAGGCGCCACACUAGAACGGAUCCGACGGUCAGGGACGAAGCCUAGGGGCACGAACCGGAUUAGAUACCCGGGUAGUCCUAGGUGUAAACGCUGUGGACUUGAUGUUGGGAGUGCUCCGAGCACCCUCAGUGUCGAAGCGAAGGUGAUAAGUCCACUGCCUGGGGAGUACGGUCGCAAGGCUGAAACUUAAAGGAAUUGGCGGGGGAGCACCGCAACCUGAGGAUUGUGCGGUUUAAUUGGAUUCAACGCCGG
This 915-nucleotide ribosomal RNA is filed under the name uncultured marine archaeon. RNAcentral describes it as "bacterial SSU rRNA". It matches the Rfam family "Archaeal small subunit ribosomal RNA", at positions 1 to 921 of the family's 1478-position model. The record is from RNAcentral.